This 253-nucleotide ribosomal RNA is filed under the name uncultured bacterium. RNAcentral's name for it is "partial 16S ribosomal RNA". It matches the Rfam family "Bacterial small subunit ribosomal RNA", at positions 524 to 776 of the family's 1533-position model. The record is from RNAcentral.
CACGUAGGGCGCAAGCGUUGUCCGGAAUUAUUGGGCGUAAAGAGCUCGUAGGCGGUCUGUUGCGUCUGCUGUGAAAACUCGGGGCUUAACCCCGAGCCUGCAGUGGAUACGGGCAGACUAGAGGUAGGUAGGGGAGAAUGGAAUUCCCGGUGUAGCGGUGAAAUGCGCAGAUAUCGGGAGGAACACCGGUGGCGAAGGCGGUUCUCUGGGCCUUACCUGACGCUGAGGAGCGAAAGCGUGGGGAGCGAACAGG